Molecule: ribosomal RNA, 118 nt
Filed under: Brycon cephalus
Lineage: Eukaryota; Metazoa; Chordata; Actinopteri; Characiformes; Bryconidae
Source: RNAcentral
UACGCCCGAUCUCGUCCGAUCUCGGAAGCUAGCCAGGGUCGGGCUUGGUUAGUACUUGGAUGGGAAACUCCUGGGAAUACUAGGUGCUGUAGCUUUUGCUUACGGCCAUACCAGCCUG